Long non-coding RNA from Triticum aestivum (bread wheat), 402 nucleotides. RefSeq lists it as uncharacterized. NCBI's taxonomy places the organism in Eukaryota, Viridiplantae, Streptophyta, Magnoliopsida, Poales, Poaceae. The transcript is spliced from 2 exons. The record is from RefSeq and is a predicted model, not a curated record.
CUAACUGCAAAUCUCACACCAUGUCGGCCCGCGGUUCGACAUGGGACGUUUUGUGCUUCAUCAAGAGCUUCUGCACAGUGAGCCUGACAAAGACGGCCGUCAUGCUUUUCUCCCCUGUCAAGCGGUCAGACUAGAUGGGGGGAUGCAGCGACAGCAAUCUUCGCGGAGCGUGUGGAUACAACUACAUCAAUUGGGAAGGUCAUCUAUAAGCAUUGUUAUAGAUGGUCUAAUCAAGCAGAACAUGUGCUAGCAAAAUUUAGUUAUUGUAAUAAGAUUUAUGUAGUUUGGAUGAACGAACCUCCUGACAAAUAGUUUGGAUGAACGAGCCACAUAUGUGUUGGUCAGUAAGAUCAUAAACGAUGUAUCUAUUAUUUCAGAUUAAUAAAGCUAGUCAUGAUGGUA